This 253-nucleotide ribosomal RNA is filed under the name uncultured bacterium. Its description in RNAcentral is "partial 16S ribosomal RNA". It matches the Rfam family "Bacterial small subunit ribosomal RNA", at positions 524 to 776 of the family's 1533-position model. The record is from RNAcentral.
UACGCAGGGUGCAAGCGUUAAUCGGAAUUACUGGGCGUAAAGCGUGCGCAGGCGGUUUUGUAAGUCUGAUGUGAAAUCCCCGGGCUCAACCUGGGAAUUGCAUUGGAGACUGCAAGGCUAGAAUCUGGCAGAGGGGGGUAGAAUUCCACGUGUAGCAGUGAAAUGCGUAGAGAUGUGGAGGAACACCGAUGGCGAAGGCAGCCCCCUGGGUCAAGAUUGACGCUCAUGCACGAAAGCGUGGGGAGCAAACAGG